RNAcentral lists this transfer RNA (74 nucleotides) under Candidatus Omnitrophota bacterium. RNAcentral's name for it is "tRNA-Leu". It matches the Rfam family "tRNA". From Rfam's summary of the family: Transfer RNA (tRNA) molecules are approximately 80 nucleotides in length. Their secondary structure includes four short double-helical elements and three loops (D, anti-codon, and T loops). Lineage: Bacteria; Pseudomonadati; Candidatus Omnitrophota. The record is from RNAcentral.
GCUCUCGUAGCGCAAUUGGCAGAGGCGUCCCCCCUAAAAGGGGAUUAGUGAGGGUUCGAAUCCCUCCGAGAGCA